CCUGCCGGACCUGACUGCUAUCGGAUUGAUACUAAGCCAUGCGAGUCUUUGUAGUAAUACAAGGCAGACGGCUCAGUAACACGUAGUCAACCUACCCUAUGGACAAGAAUAAUCUCGGGAAACUGGGCAUAAUUCUUGAUAGAUCAUAGUGCCUGGAAUGGUUUAUGGUUAAAAUGAUUCGUCGCCAUAGGAUGGGACUGCGGCCUAUCAGCUUGUUGGUGAGGUAAUGGCCCACCAAGGCGAUUACAGGUACGGGCUCUGAGAGGAGAAGCCCGGAGAUGGGUACUGAGACACGGACCCAGGCCCUAUGGGGCGCAGCAGGCGAGAAAACUUUGCAAUGUGCGAAAGCACGACAAGGUUAAUCCGAGUGAUUUCUGCUAAAGAAAUCUUUUGCCAGUCAUAAAACCACUGGUGAAUAAGGGGUGGGCAAGUUCUGGUGUCAGCCGCCGCGGUAAAACCAGCACCUCAAGUGGUCAGGAUGAUUAUUGGGCCUAAAGCAUCCGUAGCCGGCUUUGUAAGUUUUCGGUUAAAUCCAUGUGCUCAACGCAUGGGCUGCCGAAAAUACUGCAUGGCUAGGGAGUGGGAGAGGUAGACGGUACUCAGUAGGAAGGGGUAAAAUCCUUUGAUCUAUUGAUGACCACCUGUGGCGAAGGCGGUCUACCAGAACACGUUCGACGGUGAGGGAUGAAAGCUGGGGGAGCAAACCGGAUUAGAUACCCGGGUAGUCCCAGCUGUAAACGAUGCAGACUCGAUGAUGCAUUGGCAUAAUAGCCAAUGCAGUGUCGCAGGGAAGCCGUUAAGUCUGCCGCCUGGGAAGUACGUACGCAAGUAUGAAACUUAAAGGAAUUGGCGGGGGAGCACCACAAGGGGUGAAGCCUGCGGUUCAAU
This 888-nucleotide ribosomal RNA is filed under the name uncultured marine group I thaumarchaeote. Its description in RNAcentral is "SSU rRNA". It matches the Rfam family "Archaeal small subunit ribosomal RNA", at positions 13 to 906 of the family's 1478-position model. The record is from RNAcentral. Lineage: Archaea; Thermoproteati; Nitrososphaerota.